CAGCACCCCAAGUGGUCAGGAUGAUUAUUGGGCCUAAAGCAUCCGUAGCCUGUUCUGUAAGUUUCCGGUUAAAUCCAUUAGCUCAACUAAUGGGCUGCCGAAAAUACUGCAGAACUAGGGAGUGGGAGAGGUAGACGGUACUCGGUAGGAAGGGGUAAAAUCCUUUGAUCUAUUGAUGACCACCUGUGGCGAAGGCGGUCUACCAGAACACGUUCGACGGUGAGGGAUGAAAGCUGGGGGAGCAAACCGGAUUAGAUACCCGAGUAGUCC
RNAcentral lists this ribosomal RNA (270 nucleotides) under uncultured archaeon. RNAcentral describes it as "partial 16S ribosomal RNA". It matches the Rfam family "Archaeal small subunit ribosomal RNA", at positions 477 to 747 of the family's 1478-position model. The record is from RNAcentral.